Molecule: long non-coding RNA, 647 nt
Organism: Salvia splendens (bonfire salvia)
Lineage: Eukaryota; Viridiplantae; Streptophyta; Magnoliopsida; Lamiales; Lamiaceae
Exons: 2
Source: RefSeq, a predicted model, not a curated record
UAAACUCUUGAGCACAAAGCCCAUUCAAUAUGUACAUAGCCCAAUCGGCGCUCCACUCCCCACUCUGCCCCGUCGCUCCGCCUCCCUUUUCUUUCACCAGCCCCGUCGGCUUCCGGUAUUAAUGAUGAUUUUGGAAGGCGAUUCUGGGUGUGGCAUAAUGAAUAAAAUUGCCAAAAAGGGUCGUUUAUCUGCAAGGAAAGAAACGAAACUGAGAGAUGUUUUGUUUGCAAAUCUACCGGAAGAGAUUACGAUAGAGAUCUUACGAAGACUCACCAUUAGGAGCGUUAUGACGUGCAAGUGUGUUCUUCGUAAAUCAUGGCGCGAUCUAAUUGAGGGGGAGGACUUUGGGAUGUCGUAUACUCCAAAACCAGGCCUAUUUUUCGUGUAUGGAGACAUGGAAAUGCAGUACGUUGUCUGCGAUGAGGCCUUAAAGCCACUUUUCCGAUUCGGUUCGCCUUCUCAUAAUCAAUUUUCCACUGCUCACUAUCGUGUUAUAGUUGCUUCAGCUAAUGGUUUCCUUUCAAUUUGGGACUAACGUGAUAACAUUCUAUUUAUAUGCAACCCAAUGACUCGUGAGCAUGUCGAGCUCCCUCGUCUAUCUAAGUACAAUAAAGUUUGUUCCUUUUGGGGCUUUGGAGUGAGCAAAA